GAUCAUGGCUCAGGAUGAACGCUAGCUACAGGCUUAACACAUGCAAGUCGAGGGGAAACGAUAUUGGAAGCUUGCUUCCGAUAGGCGUCGACCGGCGCACGGGUGAGUAACGCGUAUCCAACCUGCCCAUCACUUGGGGAUAACCUUGCGAAAGUAAGACUAAUACCCAAUGACGUCUCUAGAAGACAUCUGAAAGAGAUUAAAGAUUUAUCGGUGAUGGAUGGGGAUGCGUCUGAUUAGCUUGUUGGCGGGGUAACGGCCCACCAAGGCGACGAUGGGUAGGGGUUCUGAGAGGAAGGUCCCCCACAUUGGAACUGAGACACGGUCCAAACUCCUACGGGAGGCAGCAGUGAGGAAUAUUGGUCAAUGGGCGCGAGCCUGAACCAGCCAAGUAGCGUGGAGGACGACGGCCCUACGGGUUGUAAACUCCUUUUAUAAGGGGAUAAAGUUGGCCAUGUAUGGCCAUUUGCAGGUACCUUAUGAAUAAGCAUCGGCUAAUUCCGUG
RNAcentral lists this ribosomal RNA (505 nucleotides) under uncultured bacterium. Its description in RNAcentral is "bacterial SSU rRNA". It matches the Rfam family "Bacterial small subunit ribosomal RNA", at positions 15 to 507 of the family's 1533-position model. The record is from RNAcentral.